Molecule: ribosomal RNA, 254 nt
Filed under: uncultured bacterium
Lineage: Bacteria
Description: partial 16S ribosomal RNA
Rfam family: Bacterial small subunit ribosomal RNA
Source: RNAcentral
UACAGAGGUGCCAAGCGUUAGGCGGAAUCACUGGGCUUAAAGCGCGUGUAGGCGGGUCGUUAAGUGUCCGAGUGAAAUCCCACGGCUCAACCGUGGAACUGCCGGGCAUACUGGCGAUCUUGAGGCAUUCAGGGGCGAGCGGAACAAAUGGUGGAGCGGUGAAAUGCGUAGAUAUCAUUUGGAACGCCAAUGGUGAAAACAGCUCGCUGGGAAUGAUCUGACGCUGAGACGCGGAAGCCAGGGGAGCGAACGGG